RNAcentral lists this small RNA (1625 nucleotides) under Arabidopsis thaliana (thale cress). RNAcentral's name for it is "ATSL097690". The stretch from base 1151 to 1272 matches the Rfam family "MIR405 microRNA precursor family". The record is from RNAcentral. Lineage: Eukaryota; Viridiplantae; Streptophyta; Magnoliopsida; Brassicales; Brassicaceae.
AAAAAAAAAUAUAAUUAAAUAUUCCCAUAAAUAUCUAACUAAACCAACCAAUAACAUAAUAAUUAAAUUACAAGUCAUAAAUACUAUUUUAUGAAUAAAUAAAUAAUUCGAUCAACAAAACCAAGAAUAACUGAUAAUCCUAACCAGGUUCCAAUAACCAAAAACACCAAACAUAAAACAAACGAGUUCCUAGAUCAUCCUCUUUUCCUUGCCAUGAUUUCACAAUCACACUUUAUCUUUACCUGCAUCAACAACACAAUGAGAUGAGUAAGUAUUAUCAUAAAUACUUAGUGAGACGAUCCUCCCAUCUACGAGCUAUACACACAAGCAAAUAAAAAGGUAUAAUCACGAAUACAAUACAAACAAACCAGUCAUUGAACAAUUCACCCAAAACACAUUCACCAUACCUACAUAUCAUCACACAAAACAAAUCACACAACCCAAUCGCUCAGAUAAGCUCAUGGUCACGCACUCACCUUAACAAAUUGAUUCUAAUAGCAAUUAAACCCAGGAGAGACUCUCCUUGCGUCUGAAACAGUCCAGAAACGUCCUGCAACAAGUCCACAACCAAAAGCAACCUUGAAGCAAACUGGACAGGAAAACCAGAAACAAACCGUCUCAAAGACGAAACCUACAAUACAAGCUAACCGUUAACUAUUCAAUCGCUCCGGUGAAAUCCUAGCUGCAGACGUCAGAAAGCUGCCCACAAAAUCUCGUGCCGAUCGGAAAACAGACGAGACCACGAUCUCAGUUUCAAUCUUCGCUGUUCCUAAUUCGCGUAUGAGAAAACGUGUCUCACGAAACUGCGAAUAACUCAACCAAGUUUAAUCCAAAUUCAAUUCUGUAAACUGGAGAAUAACGAUAAAGGACUUGGGAAUACCUCUACCAAAUUUCGUUACCUUUUACCACGAUUUUAUAUGACGAAACUGAUUUCUCCCAAACCCUAACGAUUCUGCUCCUUCUCCUUUUCUCUCUUUUUCUCCUUUAUAAAACGAAAAGUGGCUAACUAAAGCCCUAAUUUCGAGUUUCCUUAUUUUAUAGGCACACUUUAGGGUUUCCAAUUAACCCAACCAAUUAAACCGGAUGAUUUAAAAACAAACCCUAACCGAUUUUCCGGUUCACGGGCGUUACAAAUUAUUACUUAAAUGGGUUAACCCAUUUAACAACUCAGCCCAUCAAAUUAAAUGAGUUAUGGGUUGACCCAACCCAUUUUGUUAAAUGGGUUGGGUCAACCCAUAACUCAUUUAACCCUAAACUCAUUUGAUUAUGAGUUGAGUUGAGUUGGGUUACCCAUUUUGACAUCCCUAUACGUACAUAACAUUUUUCAAAAGUAUGAGAACAACUAUACUUUAACAAUAUAUUUUUAUUUAAUUAUUAUAUAUAAAUAGAUUUAUGAAAAAAAAACCAAAAAAUAAUCAAAUGUUUCUAAUGUAUAAACUCAAUAAAUAUUGUGUAUGUCGCCUUUAAUAAAACAUAAUCUAACAUAUUUACAUGUCCACAUAUAUGUACACCGUAAAUUGCAUAUACAUACACAUAAGAAAUUUAAUGAAGGGUAUAAUUGUAAUGAAUGUGUACGGAAUUCUCAUCCUCUGUCUAUCUAUCCUCGUAGACAAUUGUUAGAAAUU